RNAcentral lists this ribosomal RNA (440 nucleotides) under uncultured bacterium. RNAcentral describes it as "partial 16S ribosomal RNA". It matches the Rfam family "Bacterial small subunit ribosomal RNA", at positions 338 to 795 of the family's 1533-position model. The record is from RNAcentral.
CCUACGGGAGGCAGCAGUGGGGGAUAUUGCACAAUGGGGGAAACCCUGAUGCAGCGACGCCGCGUGGGUGAAGAAGCGCCUCGGCGCGUAAAGCCCUGUCAGCAGGGAAGAAAAUGACGGUACCUGAAGAAGAAGCCCCGGCUAACUACGUGCCAGCAGCCGCGGUAAUACGUAGGGGGCAAGCGUUAGCCGGGUUUACUGGGUGUAAAGGGGGGGCAGACGGCGAUGCAAGCCAGGAGUGAAAGCCCGGGGCCCAACCCCGGGACGGCUCUUGGAACUGCGUGGCGAGAGUGCAGGAGGGGCAGGCGGAAUUCCUGGUGUAGCGGUGAAAUGCGUAGAUAUCAGGAGGAACACCGGUGGCGAAGGCGGCCUGCUGGACUGCAACUGACGUUGAGGCCCGAAAGCGUGGGGAGCAAACAGGAUUAGAUACCCGGGUAGUC